GACUACCUGAGGAAGUUUACCUGGCUUUCCACUGUUGUCGACGCUCACCAGGUUUUUCACAGAGUAGAGCCCUGCAUCCUCCAGCUGUGUGUGUGUGUGCGUGUGCGUGUGCGUGUGCUGUGCGUGUGUGUCAGGAUGAUGAAGAAGUGUCUAUCAGGGUGGCAUAUGACUCCCACAUCAUAGACCAGAUGACCGAGGAGGAAAUACUGGCCUGCCUGAUGGCCGAGGUCUAUACCCAUACACACGGUUCCCAGUAAGAAGGCCACGCUGAGAGAGAACCAGCCGCAWCAACAGGAUGACCACAUAGACAGAUACCAGAGGGAGAACCGUCAGCUGCAGCAGGCCAGUCUGYGUCUGGAGCAGGAGAAUGAUGUUCUGGCCCACAGACUGAUCACCAGCAAGAUCUCCCUGAGGACUGACCUGGACCAGGUACACCACUCACCUACCCCACAUCAACCCCACAUCAACCCCUAGCCCCCUACCUCCUAGGCACUCCUCCAGCCCUCUAAC
Long non-coding RNA from Salvelinus sp. IW2-2015, 510 nucleotides. RefSeq lists it as uncharacterized. The record is from RefSeq and is a predicted model, not a curated record. NCBI's taxonomy places the organism in Eukaryota, Metazoa, Chordata, Actinopteri, Salmoniformes, Salmonidae.